Molecule: long non-coding RNA, 1052 nt
Filed under: Canis lupus familiaris (dog)
Lineage: Eukaryota; Metazoa; Chordata; Mammalia; Carnivora; Canidae
Description: lncRNA (ENSCAFG00000056121.1)
Source: RNAcentral
AAGGCUUACCCUUAGGUAAUUAGAAAACCUUAGAAAUGUUUCAAUACCAUAUACAUACAAAUAAAUUGAGGCUUAGAAAUAUUAAUUAAUCCAGUUAAGAUCAAAAUGGCAAGAACAUAGCAGAGCCAGAAGUAAAAAUUUGCUUCAUGGAUUUCCAGGGUAGCACCAGCAUCUGGAAGUGGGACCGGCAUUAUGGAUGCACUAUAAUAUUGAUAGAAUAAAUAAGUGAUUUUAAUAGAUUUUCAUCUAGACUUUGAGUAAACUACCCCAUGAGGCAUACUGGUAGUGUUCUGUGUCUUUACCUGGCUCUCAUUUUACAGGUGUGUUUAGUUUGUGAAAAUCACAUUUUUAGAUAUUUCUUAUGAGAGGGAAGGACCUGGAAGACCAGGAAGAAUCAGGACUUGGAAAUGGAGAUGGAGAAGAUAUUGAAUGGAUGACCCUUUAGGGAAUUCUAGGAUAAGGAUUACCCCGAGGUCGCCACACUUAGAGGAAGUCCAGGCAAGAAGGAGAGACCCGGUGAAAGUGUUCCAAUUGAUACCUCUGUUGACAUCACAACUGACAAAUAGCAUCAGCCACCAGACAAAUGAGAGAAGACAUCUCCAGAUGAUGCCAGCUCCCAGCCCUUGAGUCACCCCUAGCCAUUAUGUCUUCCCAACUGAGGCCCCAGACUAUGAGCACAAACAAGGUAUUUGAAUUAUGCCUUGUCCAAAUUCCUGAUCCACAGAAUCUGUGAGCAUAAUAAAAUGCUUCUUUAAGCUACUGAUUUGGAUGUAAUUUGUUACAAGACAAUAGUCAGUGCAACAAUAGCAUCCACAACUCUUUCAAAGGCAUUCUCUGUAGUCUUCUUGAACAAUGAAGAUUGAACAAUGUUGGCAGAAUCAAUUUCAUAGUCCUUAGGAUGUAUUGCUUAGUGGUCUAGCACCUCAAUCAGACAUUAUUCUUAGGCUUUGGGCCACUGGUGAAACUUAAAGACAAAAGAGCCCCAUUUUAAUAUCUGACUAUUUCACAGCCAGGAUGGAUCAAGCAGAAAUGCCACUUCUUCCAUACCGGGG